Molecule: ribosomal RNA, 253 nt
Filed under: uncultured bacterium
Lineage: Bacteria
Description: partial small subunit ribosomal RNA
Rfam family: Bacterial small subunit ribosomal RNA
Source: RNAcentral
AGGACGAACGCUGGCGGCGUGCUUAACACAUGCAAGUCGAGCGGAAAGGCCCUUCGGGGUACUCGAGCGGCGAACGGGUGAGUAACACGUGAGCAACCUGCCCUUAGCUCUGGGAUAGCUCCGGGAAACCGGAAUUAAUACCGGAUACGACCUAGGCCGACAUCGGCCAUGGUGGAAAGUUUUUCGGCUAGGGAUGGACUCGCGGCCUAUCAGCUAGUUGGUGGGUAAAGCCUACCAAGGCGACGACGGGUAG